AUACGGAGGGUGCAAGCGUUACUCGGAAUCACUGGGCGUAAAGCGCGCGCAGGCGGGCUGAUAAGUUGGAUGUGAAAGCCUACGGCUCAACCGUAGAACUGCAUCCAAAACUGUCAGUCUAGAGUCUGGGAGGGGAAGAUGGAAUUAGUUGUGUAGGGGUAAAAUCCGUAGAGAUAACUAGGAAUACCAAAAGCGAAGGCGAUCUCCUGGAACAGUACUGACGCUGAGGCGCGAAAGCGUGGGGAGCAAACAGGAUUAGAUACCCUAGUAGUCC
Molecule: ribosomal RNA, 274 nt
Filed under: uncultured bacterium
Lineage: Bacteria
Description: partial 16S ribosomal RNA
Rfam family: Bacterial small subunit ribosomal RNA
Source: RNAcentral